RNAcentral lists this ribosomal RNA (253 nucleotides) under uncultured bacterium. RNAcentral's name for it is "partial 16S ribosomal RNA". It matches the Rfam family "Bacterial small subunit ribosomal RNA", at positions 524 to 776 of the family's 1533-position model. The record is from RNAcentral.
UACGGGGGGGGCAAGCGUUGUUCGGAAUUACUGGGCGUAAAGUGUGCGCAGGCGGCCGAGCAAGUCGAGUGUGAAAGCCCCGAGCUUAACUUGGGAACUGCGCUCGAAACUACUUGGCUAGAGUGUGGCAGAGGGAGGUGGAAUUCCACGUGUAGCGGUGAAAUGCGUAGAGAUGUGGAGGAACACCGAUGGCGAAGGCAGCCUCCUGGGCCAACACUGACGCUCAUGCACGAAAGCGUGGGGAGCAAACAGG